Non-coding RNA from Pelobates cultripes (western spadefoot toad), 297 nucleotides. NCBI's taxonomy places the organism in Eukaryota, Metazoa, Chordata, Amphibia, Anura, Pelobatidae. The record is from the annotation of a GenBank genome assembly.
ACAUUCCUUGUCAGCAAACACAUACAACAUUCUCUAAACACACCCUCUCUACAACCCCUACACACACUACGUCACCUAUACACACACACUACAGCCCGUAUACACACACUCGCUACAUACCCUAUAACACUAUGCCCCCUAUACACACACUCUCUACAGCCCCUAGCCACACAUAUUACACCACAAACACAAAUGAAAUUGACCUAUUUACAAAAUACCACACUCUACACACACGCAAUCCCACAAGCAGGCUCCAAACACAUGCACCAUACACUUUCCUGGCCCUUUUGUCUUCUG